Molecule: long non-coding RNA, 315 nt
Filed under: Aquilegia coerulea
Lineage: Eukaryota; Viridiplantae; Streptophyta; Magnoliopsida; Ranunculales; Ranunculaceae
Description: long non-coding RNA (ACOE_LNC000805)
Source: RNAcentral
AUAUGGAUGAGAUGAGAUCCCUGUGUUUUUUGUGGUGGAGUGAAAAAUUCAACAUAGUGCAUCACCUAUUUAAAACACCGUUUAAUAAACAUCUAAUAAUAUCUAUUGAUUGAUUGAAAGAGUUAACUGUUGGUCAGAUGAAGAAGAGAGGUGGGAGGUCGGUUGAAGAAGAGAAGGGGAGGAGGUCGGAUGAAUAAACCAAGCGAAGGAGGGAGGUGUGUCAUGUCUGUGAUGGCAGACGCAGGCCAUCACAGAGCGAGGCCCAUCUAUUUCGGAAAGGGCCCACAAACAGAAGACCGGGAGAUUUAUUUACAC